Molecule: non-coding RNA, 232 nt
Filed under: Bacillus sp. (in: firmicutes)
Lineage: Bacteria; Bacillati; Bacillota; Bacilli; Caryophanales; Bacillaceae
Description: Bacillus sp. T-box sequence
Rfam family: T-box leader
About the family: Uncharged tRNA acts as the effector for transcription antitermination of genes in the T-box leader family. T-boxes are found upstream of many aminoacyl-tRNA synthetase genes and some amino acid biosynthetic genes usually in Gram-positive bacteria. The anticodon of a specific tRNA base pairs to a specifier sequence within the T-box motif, and the NCCA acceptor tail of the tRNA base pairs to a conserved bulge in the T-box antiterminator hairpin.
Source: RNAcentral
CUGAAAAUGUUGAAGGAUCAAGUAUGUUAUAGUCCAUCUUAAAUGUGUAUGAAUAAGCACAGAAAGAGAGGAAUUUCCCUGGCUGAAAGAAAUUCUAAGAUGAAGGAUAACAGAAGGCUAAUCUGGAGUGCAGAAAAAAACUGCCGUUUUGCCGCGUUAUAGGCACCCAAGAGAAAGGCAUUGAUUUGUCUUUAAUCAGGGUGGUACCGCGAAUAAGUCUUUCGUCCCUGUC